ACUCCUACGGGAGGCAGCAGUGGGGAAUCUUAGACAAUGGGCGCAAGCCUGAUCUAGCCAUGCCGCGUGAGUGAUGAAGGUCUUAGGAUCGUAAAGCUCUUUCGCUGGGGAAGAUAAUGACGGUACCCAGUAAAGAAACCCCGGCUACUCCGUGCCAGCAGCCGCGGUAAUACGGAGGGGUUAGCGUUGUUCGGAAUUACUGGGCGUAAAGCGCACGUAGGCGGAUCGGAAAGUUGGGGUGAAAUCCCGGGGCUCAACCUGCGGAACUGCCUUGCAAAACUAUCGGUCUAGAAGUUCGAGAGAGGUGAGUGGAAUUGCGAGUGUAGAGGUGAAAUUCGUAGAUAUUCGCAGGAACACCAGUGGCGAAGGCGGCUCACUGGCUCGAUACUGACGCUGAGGUGCGAAAGUGUGGGGAGCAAACA
RNAcentral lists this ribosomal RNA (422 nucleotides) under uncultured bacterium. Its description in RNAcentral is "bacterial SSU rRNA". It matches the Rfam family "Bacterial small subunit ribosomal RNA", at positions 335 to 774 of the family's 1533-position model. The record is from RNAcentral.